RNAcentral lists this ribosomal RNA (500 nucleotides) under uncultured Desulfobulbus sp. Its description in RNAcentral is "bacterial SSU rRNA". It matches the Rfam family "Bacterial small subunit ribosomal RNA", at positions 887 to 1382 of the family's 1533-position model. The record is from RNAcentral. Lineage: Bacteria; Pseudomonadati; Thermodesulfobacteriota; Desulfobulbia; Desulfobulbales; Desulfobulbaceae.
GCCCGCUCAGAAACUUAAAGGAAUUGACGGGGCCCGCACAAGCGGUGGAGUAUGUGGUUUAAUUCGAUGCAACGCGAAGAACCUUACCUGGUCUUGACAUCCCGGAGACCCUUAGGAAACUAGGGGGUGCUUCCAUCUGGAAGAAUCUGGAGACAGGUGCUGCAUGGCUGUCGUCAGCUCGUGUCGUGAGAUGUUGGGUUAAGUCCCGCAACGAGCGCAACCCUUGCCUUUAGUUGCCAGCAGUUCGGCUGGGCACUCUAAAGGGACUGCCGGUGUUAAACCGGAGGAAGGUGGGGAUGACGUCAAGUCCUCAUGGCCUUUAUGACCAGGGCUACACACGUACUACAAUGGCCGAUACAAAGGGCAGCGACACUGCGAGGUGAAGCCAAUCCCGUAAAAUCGGUCUCAGUCCGGAUUGGAGUCUGCAACUCGACUCCAUGAAGUUGGAAUCGCUAGUAAUCGUGGAUCAGCAUGCCACGGUGAAUACGUUCCCGGGCCUU